This 253-nucleotide ribosomal RNA is filed under the name uncultured bacterium. RNAcentral's name for it is "partial 16S ribosomal RNA". It matches the Rfam family "Bacterial small subunit ribosomal RNA", at positions 524 to 776 of the family's 1533-position model. The record is from RNAcentral.
CACGUAGGGCGCAAGCGUUGUCCGGAAUUAUUGGGCGUAAAGAGCUCGUAGGCGGUCUGUUGCGUCUGCUGUGAAAACCCGGGGCUUAACCCCUGGCUUGCAGUGGAUACGGACAGACUAGAGGUAGGUAGGGGAGAAUGGAAUUCCCGGUGUAGCGGUGAAAUGCGCAGAUAUCGGGAGGAACACCGGUGGCGAAGGCGGUUCUCUGGGCCUUACCUGACGCUGAGGCGCGAAAGCUAGGGGAGCAAACGGG